UUGAUAGAAUUAAACAAACUGAAAAGAUAAGAUAAGGGAGGCUCAGGGCCUGCGAACGCCAGCAAACUACCUCGGAGUCUCUGGACUGAAGGAUCACUCCCGAACUAUAGUUGUGGUCUGUAGAUUGGGUCCUGACCUGUGCACAAAAAGGGCACAGAAGCGUAGUAUCAGCACAACCGACCCCAUGUGCUGGUAAGUGUCCGACCUAACCUCAGUGAGGU
This 221-nucleotide long non-coding RNA is filed under the name Nicotiana benthamiana. Its description in RNAcentral is "long non-coding RNA (NBEN_LNC016061)". The record is from RNAcentral. Lineage: Eukaryota; Viridiplantae; Streptophyta; Magnoliopsida; Solanales; Solanaceae.